RNAcentral lists this transfer RNA (77 nucleotides) under Halomonas mongoliensis. RNAcentral's name for it is "tRNA-Pro". It matches the Rfam family "tRNA". Rfam says of the family: Transfer RNA (tRNA) molecules are approximately 80 nucleotides in length. Their secondary structure includes four short double-helical elements and three loops (D, anti-codon, and T loops). Further hydrogen bonds mediate the characteristic L-shaped molecular structure. tRNAs have two regions of fundamental functional importance: the anti-codon, which is responsible for specific mRNA codon recognition, and the 3' end, to which the tRNAs corresponding amino acid is attached (by aminoacyl-tRNA synthetases). tRNAs cope with the degeneracy of the genetic code in two manners: having more than one tRNA (with a specific anti-codon) for a particular amino acid; and 'wobble' base-pairing, i.e. permitting non-standard base-pairing at the 3rd anti-codon position. The record is from RNAcentral. Lineage: Bacteria; Pseudomonadati; Pseudomonadota; Gammaproteobacteria; Oceanospirillales; Halomonadaceae. RNAcentral also lists the same sequence under 13 other names.
CGGAGCGUAGCUCAGCUUGGUAGAGCGCUGCCUUCGGGAGGCAGAGGUCGUAGGUUCGAAUCCUGUCGCUCCGACCA